Molecule: long non-coding RNA, 1118 nt
Filed under: Homo sapiens (human)
Lineage: Eukaryota; Metazoa; Chordata; Mammalia; Primates; Hominidae
Description: HSALNT0368514
Source: RNAcentral
GGGAGAGAAGGAGAGGGGAGAGCACGCUUGGAUGUGCUUGGGGAGGGGGCUGGAGAGAAUGUAUAUGUGUAUAUAGUGGGGGAGAUGCUAGGCUACAGCAUCCCUUUUCCAAGACAGUGAAGGGGGUGGGUGGUGGGUGUGUGCACAGGGAGGGAAAGGCAGAUGCUGUUGCCCCUCGUGCCCAGCAGACAAAGAGGAACUGCACAACAAAUGCCUGAGAGAGGCAAGAGUGUGUGCAAGAGAGAGAGAGAGAGAUGGAUGGGCCUGCGGGUGGGAGGGAGAAAGGGGGGGCCCUAGGGAAGGCCCAAUCCUCUGCCAGCUGGGGAAGCCAAGGCCCCAGAGGUCAUGGGGCCCAGGACACGGACAGCUUCAAGGCUCUCAGAGAGGCAGAAAGCCCCUCCCCCACCGAACUCUUUCCCUCCUCCUCCAGGAGGAAGGUUGCUCUCUAGAUGUGGGGACUGACAGCCUCCUCCUUUCCAGCAGUGAGAGGGCCCAGCAGAGUCUGGUGUCAGGCUAGUGUUGCUCCGUGGCCCUGAGACCUUUCAGAUCCCGGGCAAAAAGGCUGAAGGGAAUGAUCUGUACCUUUAAAAAGAGAAAAGGGGAGAAAAGAUGGAUUUUCUGAAUCACAUUCUGUGAGGAAUUCAAAUCUCUUGGAAGAACAGGAGAGAUACCCUUUUCAUCAAGUGGCCUGAUGAGGGAAGGUCACCUGGCGUGGAGCAGAAGAACUAUGAUGGCCUGUGGAGGCCCGCAGUGUGCUUCGGGAGGGCUGCAUGCUGCAGCCUUUCCCUCUGCUUCCAUAUGACUCUUCCAGGAGAGAUGGGUCAGUGAUGAGCGCAGCUAUGCCCAGUCCUAAGAGGGGUACUUUUCAGGGCUAAUGGUAGCCUUACUUUGACUUUCUCUUUUCCCUUUCUAAGGUAGCUGCUGACAUCUAAAAUUCUCAAAGUACAGAGGAGGAGUUCCUGGCCUCCACUUCCAUUCAAAAACCAUCCUGUGCAGAGGCCACUUCUUAUCUAGGACAUGCCAAUCUGCUGAAAGCAGGGAAAACUUGGUUUCAUAGCACGGUGAAGCAAAUCACCUCCAUGAGUAUCCAAUAUUCUCCAUAAACAGGUUUGAAAAGA